Molecule: unclassified non-coding RNA, 200 nt
Filed under: Lophiostoma sp.
Lineage: Eukaryota; Fungi; Ascomycota; Dothideomycetes; Pleosporales; Lophiostomataceae
Description: partial internal transcribed spacer 2
Source: RNAcentral
UUAAGUUCAGCGGGUAUCCCUACCUGAUCCGAGGUCAAAAUUGGGGUGUUGCGCUUCGUGGGCGCCUGCGCGGAGAGGGGACGAGGCGCGGGUCUGCUGCGCUCGUAGCCAAUACACAGGCCGCCAAUGUCUUCGAGGCGAGUCCGCGCGCGGGGCGGGGACAAGCGCCCAACAGUCAAGCGGUGCUUGAGGGGUUAGAU